AGUUUUCAGAGAUGAGAAUGUGCCUUCGGGAACCGUGAGACAGGUGCUGCAUGGCUGUCGUCAGCUCGUGUUGUGAAAUGUUGGGUUAAGUCCCGCAACGAGCGCAACCCUUAUCCUUUGUUGCCAGCGGUCCGGCCGGGAACUCAAAGGAGACUGCCAGUGAUAAACUGGAGGAAGGUGGGGAUGACGUCAAGUCAUCAUGGCCCUUACGACCAGGGCUACACACGUGCUACAAUGGCGCAUACAAAGAGAAGCGACCUCGCGAGAGCAAGCGGACCUCAUAAAGUGCGUCGUAGUCCGGAUUGGAGUCUGCAACUCGACUCCAUGAAGUCGGAAUCGCUAGUAAUCGUGGAUCAGAAUGCCACGGUGAAUACGUUCCCGGGCCUUGUACACACCGCCCGUCACACCAUGGGAGUGGGUUGCAAA
RNAcentral lists this ribosomal RNA (426 nucleotides) under Escherichia coli. Its description in RNAcentral is "bacterial SSU rRNA". It matches the Rfam family "Bacterial small subunit ribosomal RNA", at positions 995 to 1421 of the family's 1533-position model. The record is from RNAcentral. Lineage: Bacteria; Pseudomonadati; Pseudomonadota; Gammaproteobacteria; Enterobacterales; Enterobacteriaceae.